This is a long non-coding RNA of Aotus nancymaae (Ma's night monkey), 3065 nucleotides long. The record is from Ensembl. NCBI's taxonomy places the organism in Eukaryota, Metazoa, Chordata, Mammalia, Primates, Aotidae.
UGAGAGACCAAAGUUUCCAGGGCCUUUGUCUUUAGAGCAAGGGUCUUAAACCUUAGUGAGCAAAAACUGACCCAGAAGACUUGUUGGAGGCAUAGCUUUCAGUUCAGCAAGCCUAUUUCAACAGGUUGGAGGUGGGCCCAGGGCUCUGCAUUUUCCCAGCUCUCUGGAGGAUUCAGAUGCAGGUAGUCCAUGACCACAAGGGGAUGCUGCUCUUCCAAAGCUGGGCUGGAGAAUCAGAACUGGCAACUGCCUGGGCCCAGAGCUGCCAGCCAUGGGGCAGGUCCACCAGAGACUGAUGAAGGAUAGAGGAAGAAGAAAGGGAAAGGAAGAGGGAACCUCAGAGAGGAUUAGGGUGGGAAAUGGAAAAAGAGAAACUCCAAGGUGUGCAAAAGAGAAAAGGGAUGCCUCUCUAAGAAGGCCAAUCCCCUGACUGCAACAUGUGCUGAUCUCCAAGGGUGAGGCUGGAUGAAGCCAAGGGCUGUAGAAAAGGAGACUGAUUCAUAGAACUUGACACCAUCUUUAGUAGUUUCCCUGGUUCUUGGCAGCUCCUUUUGGCUGUGUCCUAUCCUGCACAACCCUCCCAGCUAGUCUACUCCGGGGCAGCGUCCAGCUGGUGACCUGAGUGGGCAGCGGUGCACCAGUCUCCAUGAAAGUUGAGCUCGGAUGGCCAAUAGCAAUUUCCACCUCGCGGUCUACAACUCUUCAUCCUGAUUGCAUGGAGACUGGUCUCUCUCUUCAGCUGGAUUUAGGCCACCGUCUGAGCCCUGAGGCAUUCACCUGGUUCCUGGGUCUUUUGUGCUGUUGCCCUAUAUGUCUAGCUACUUCUAGAAAAAAAUCUUUCUGGAGGCCCAAUGAGCUUGUCACAUCAGCCUGUCCAGAGAUCCUCACCAGCAGGGCAAAGUGCAACUGUGGCCAGCUCAUGCCUUCAAGAGAAGGAUCGAAGGUCAUUGUGUUCCUGAACCAAGUAAGUCUAACUGCUCCUUCAUCGGCUCACCCAAAACUAUAGGAGCUUUCUAAGACCACUUUCCCAUGGCUCUGGGAAUUCCUCCACGCUUGAACUCUGGUCUAGUUUCCCCAGUUUAUAUCCUAUGCUUCAUACCAAGAUCUUCCCACUUUGCCUAUCCUAUAAGAAGUAGUGGCCAGGUUGAACUUUCUGAUGAGUUUUGGAGGUUGCUUCUUGGCUCACCCUUGGUACCUUGGUCUACUAGUCACAGGUAAGCUCUACAAAGUCUAGGUGACUGGGACACUGCAACCCACCCCAGACCCAACACUAUGGCCUUCUACUGGUUAGGCACAGCAUCCAGAUGAGAUUUCUAGUGCCCAUAAUAAAGAUGAUGAGGUUUGCAAAUAUGAAGUUCGCUGGCAACUUCUUAUAGUUCAUAAGAAAUAUUUAUAGUUUGCUCAUUCAUUGAGUCAUCCAACAAGUAUUUAUAGAGACCACCAAGUACCAUAUACAUUCUGUAAUGUUAGGGAUAUAGCAGGGAAAAUGUCAGACAAGGUUUCUGCUCAUCGAAUCUGUAUUCUACUGUUGGAGGAAAAGAGAUAGCAUCAAUAAUUGUCUAUGAUCUUAAAUGUCUGAAGACAAUUAGCUGUAUAAGAUGUAAGUGACUGAGAGAGAGGGCUAUUUUAGACAAAAUGCUCAAGGAAUUAGCUCUGGAAAUAUGACAUUUAAACAAAGAUCUGAAUGACAAGAAGACAGCAUGCCAAUUUUGGUGGGCAGAGUAUAGUGGGUAGAGAGACCAGCAAAAGUACAAAAGCCUAAAGUGAAAAUAAACUUGGAUGGGUUUGAAGGACAGGAAGAGAACAAUGUGGCUAGAUUUGAUCAGCAAAGAGGUGAAUAAGAGGAAAUUAAGUCAAAUGGGAAGACACAGACUAGAUCAUGUAAGGCCUCAGUAAGUGAUAUGGUUUGGCUGUGUCCCCACCCAAAAUCUCAUCUUGAACUGUAGUUCCCAUCAUUCCCACUGUGAGAGGGACUCAGUUGGAGGUAAUUGAAUCAUGGGGGUUAUUACCCCUAUGCUGCUGUUCUCGUGAUAGUGAGUGAGUUCUCAUGAAAUCUGUUGGUUUUAUAAGGCAUUUUCCCCUCUUUUUCUCAGCACUUCUCUCUUGCCUGCCACCAUAUAAGACAUGCCUUUGCUUCUCCUUCUGCCAUGAUUGUGAGGCCUCCCCACCCUUGUAGAACUGUGAGUCCAUUAAACCUCUUUUCCCUUUUAAAUUACCCAGUCUCAGUUAUGUCUUUAUUAGCAUGAGAACAAACUAAUACAGUAAGUUUGCAUAAGAUAUUUGCACUUCCCUUUGAAAGCAAUUGGAAGCUGUGCUCUGCAUACCCAGAAUAAAAGUAAGAUUGGAAACCAUGGUGAUUGAAGACCUAUUGGGAGUGGAGACUUGAGCCCUGAGGGAGAUAGUGACUGCAAAGUUUCUCAGAUUCUCUGCAUCUGGGGAUGAUAUCUGGAUGGGAUGCCUGGCCCCUAAGGCUAGUGAGGAGUUCAAAGAAGAAGGAGCAGAAAUUGAUUCAGGGGAGACUAAGCAGAGACUCAAUAUUCUGUAAGUGCUCCUAGAGGGGAAGGGUUAGAGAGGUUGGUAGAGGGGUCCAGGAUUGCAGAAAGCUGGAGAUUCCAGCUCUAAGACAAUGCUAUUUUAGCCUCAAGACAGAGGCACGAUUAUAUGUUGCAACAAUGAAGUCAUUUUGAAGAAGCAAAAAUACUCAGUGCAAUGGACUGAAUGUUAGUGUAUUUCCCAAAUUCAUAUGUUGAACCCUAACUCCCUAUGUGAUGGGAUUAGGAGGUAAAGCCAUUUGGAGUUAAUGAGGGUGGGGUUCUCAGGAAUAGGAUUGGUGCUCUUAUUAAAGGGACCCCAGAGCACUCUCUUACCCUCAUUCCAUCAUGUGAGGAUAUAAGAAGUCUGCCAUAUACAACCUGGAAAGAGCCCUCACCAGAACCUGACCAUGCUGACACCUUGAUCUUGGACUUCCAGGCUCCAGAACUGGGAGAAAUAAAUUUCUGUUGUUUGCAUGUCAACCAGUCUAUGUGGUAUUUUGUUGUGGCAGCCCAAAUGGGCCAAAACACCCA